GGUGUGGCCUAGUUGGUUAGGGCGCCAGAUUGUGGCUCUGGAGGUCGUGGGUUCAACUCCCAUCAC
This 66-nucleotide transfer RNA is filed under the name pig gut metagenome. It matches the Rfam family "tRNA", at positions 5 to 66 of the family's 71-position model. Rfam says of the family: Transfer RNA (tRNA) molecules are approximately 80 nucleotides in length. Their secondary structure includes four short double-helical elements and three loops (D, anti-codon, and T loops). The record is from RNAcentral.